Molecule: ribosomal RNA, 372 nt
Filed under: uncultured organism
Description: partial 16S ribosomal RNA
Rfam family: Bacterial small subunit ribosomal RNA
Source: RNAcentral
GGAGGUGGCAAGCGUUACUCGGUUUGACUGGGUGUAAAGGGGUCCGUAGGGCGGGCCUGACAAGUGAAAGGUGAAAUCCUUCGGCUCAACUGAAGAAUUGCCCUUUUAAACUGUUAGGCUCGAGGAUGGUAGAGGAAAGUGGAACUGUUGGUGUAAAGGUGAAAUUUGUGGAUAUCAACAGGAACGCCCGUAGUGAAGACGACUUUCUGGAUCAUUCCUGACGCUGAGGGACGAAAGCUAGGGGAGCAAACAGGAUUAGAUACCCUGGUAGUCCUAGCCGUAAACGAUGAGCACUAGGUGUUUGUACUUUUAGUAUGGGCGCCGUAGCUAACGCGUUAAGUGCUCCACCUGGGGACUACGGCCGCAAGGCUA